Macrobrachium nipponense is the source of this 839-nucleotide long non-coding RNA. RefSeq lists it as uncharacterized. NCBI's taxonomy places the organism in Eukaryota, Metazoa, Arthropoda, Malacostraca, Decapoda, Palaemonidae. The record is from RefSeq and is a predicted model, not a curated record. The transcript is spliced from 8 exons.
UCUCUGCUUUGAUUUCAUCUGGUAUGUAGCACCUGUGGGAGACCAGCGGAUAAACGGGAAGGUCGUCCCAGGCAAUAGAAUAAUCAGAGCCAGGUGGCAACAAUGAUGGUGGAACUGAUAUUAGGUGAGAGUUCGGGCCUUACUGUCUUGGACCAUGGGCUCGUUAUGAGGCAUGUAAGGAGGCAACUGCCAGGAUGUGGUAUGUAGCACCUCUGGAGACCAGCGGAUAAACGGGAAGGUCGUCCCAGGCAAUAGAAUAAUCAGAGCCAGUUGGCAAAGUAAGUUUCUGAGGACACCUAGAGGCAAACUUUUCCUUCCUCCCCAGGAUGUUGACAGAGUCGUCGUAGGGUCGGGGUGGACCGUAGAGGGGGUUAUAUUAUUGAAUAUAAAAAAAACCGUUGGAAGACCAAGGGCCUUGAUAUCAAGUCUGCCUAAUGCGAGUAGGCCUAUAAUAAUAAAUCCCCUUUCAUUCAAAGUUUCCUACUUACGGGAAGGAGGAGAACUUCACGCACGCAUUAAAUGGUUGUAGAGCUUCGCCCUCAAGACUACUGGAGGGAGGACUGCACGCACUCAUUCAGUUGCUGUGAGUGGAGGCAUUCCAAAGUGACUAUUGGUCUCAAGCCCUUUGAAGGAAUACCCGCCUGAAGAUAUGAGGAAGACCCUGACAUGUUUUCCCGACAACUGUUGGUCUCAAGACCUUGAAAGAUUACCCCCCCUGAAGAUUUGAGGGAGACAUGACACGUAGGAGUUUCAUUUCGUAUUUUCAUCUGUUGAAGGAGUCGUUCUACAACGUCAAAUAUCACUUUUUUUCCAUCAAAUUAAACGGGCAUCGACUGCUG